AAGUCGUAACAAGGUCUCCGUAGGUGAACCUGCGGAGGGAUCAUUACCGAGAGAGGGCGCCCCGCGCGCCCGACCUCCCAACCCUCUGUCGACCGUACCUCUGUUGCCUCGGGGCGACCGCGCCUCGGCGGGCGCCCCAGGCGGACACACAACCCAAACUCUGCAUCUCAUGCGUCGGAGUGACAUUAUGCUGAAAUCAAUCAAAACUUUCAACAACGGAUCUCUUGGUUCUGGCAUCGAUGAAGAACGCAGCGAAAUGCGAUAAGUAAUGUGAAUUGCAGAAUUCAGUGAAUCAUCGAAUCUUUGAACGCACAUUGCGCCCCCUGGCAUUCCGGGGGGCAUGCCUGUUCGAGCGUCAUUUCACCACUCAAGCCUCGCUUGCGUAUGGGCGACGCGGUCCCGCCGCGCGCCUCAAAUCGACCGGCUGGUCGGAUCGCACCCUCAGCGUUGUGGCACACAAUCUCGCUAAGGAGUGUGGCGCGGUCACGCCGUCGAAAACACCCACUCAAGGUUGACCUCGGAUCAGGUAGGGAUACCCGCUGAACUUAA
RNAcentral lists this ribosomal RNA (549 nucleotides) under uncultured fungus. RNAcentral describes it as "eukaryotic LSU rRNA". The stretch from base 205 to 358 matches the Rfam family "5.8S ribosomal RNA". The record is from RNAcentral. Lineage: Eukaryota; Fungi.